This 29-nucleotide non-coding RNA is filed under the name Bombyx mori (domestic silkworm). The record is from RNAcentral. Lineage: Eukaryota; Metazoa; Arthropoda; Insecta; Lepidoptera; Bombycidae.
UCAAGAUGUACAGCUUUGGUUGAAAGGCA